Molecule: small RNA, 556 nt
Filed under: Pan troglodytes (chimpanzee)
Lineage: Eukaryota; Metazoa; Chordata; Mammalia; Primates; Hominidae
Description: processed transcript
Source: RNAcentral
CUUAUUUUCUGUUUGUCUUUCCUUGGAGAACUUUGCUGUAUGAUGUUGCCUCGACUGACUGUUCCUCACGUACCUGUUUUCACGAGAAAACAGCAUCUGGGAUGAGAAGUAUGACGCGGUGGACAUGCAGGACAUGAACAACCCCCUGUCUCAUUACUGGAUCUCCUCGUCACAUAACACGUACCUUACAGGUGACCAGCUGCGGAGCGAGUCGUCCCCAGAAGCUUACAUCCGCUGCCUGCGCAUGGGCUGUCGCUGCAUUGAACUGGACUGCUGGGACGGGCCCGAUGGGAAGCCGGUCAUCUACCAUGGCUGGACGCGGACUACCAAGAUCAAGUUUGACGACGUCGUGCAGGCCAUCAAAGACCACGCCUUUGUUACCUCGAGCUUCCCAGUGAUCCUGUCCAUCGAGGAGCACUGCAGCGUGGAGCAACAGCGUCACAUGGCCAAGGCCUUCAAGGAAGUGUUUGGCGACCUGCUGCUGACGAAGCCCACGGAGGCCAGUGCUGACCAGCUGCCCUCGCCCAGCCAGCUGCGGGAGAAGAUCAUCAUCAAG